Molecule: long non-coding RNA, 1349 nt
Filed under: Anthonomus grandis grandis
Lineage: Eukaryota; Metazoa; Arthropoda; Insecta; Coleoptera; Curculionidae
Description: uncharacterized LOC126741182
Source: RNAcentral
CCGAGGGCUAGGUUUCCGCCUGAUGGGCAUUAGAGUCUAACAAUGCCCGUGGUGCAUACAAUACUUUAUGUUUUACCUAAAAAUUGAUUUUUAUGAACAAAAAUAAUUUUAAUAUUAAUUAAAAAAUAGGGUCUACCUGUACAGGUAGGUAUACGUACAUACCUACCUACAGAAAUUUAUCAAGUGACUUGCAGUGAUUAUUUAAGUUUGACUUUGAUGUUUCUGUCAGUUAGUCAGUUGGCAUUUUUUGUUUAAAUAUUUGCUUAAAAUGGAAGAAAUUCCACAAAAUAUAAGAGAAAAGGCCAUAAAAGCGACCGAAAAUCUUUUGCCAGUUAAAUCAAGGCAACAGUAUGAUCGGGAGUAUGGCAUAUUUGGUAUUUGGAAAGAUGCCAAUGCAAUUGUUCAAAUACCCGAAACCGUUCUAAUGGCAUAUUUUCAGGAACUGUCGGAAAAAUACAGUCCGAACUCUCUCUGGACCAAGUAUUCUACCCUAAGGUCUACGUUAAUGGUCUAUAAAAAUAUAGACAUCUCGCAAUACCAUCGUCUCAUAUCUUUUUUAAAAGUUAAGUCGAAAGGAUAUGUCCCGAAGAAGUCUAAAGUUUUGGAAGGAGAACAAAUAAUAAAAUUUAUUAAGAAGGCUCCUGAUGAUAUCUACUUGGUACACAAAGUCAUAUUGGUAAUGGGUGUUUUUAGAGGUUUAAGAUAAGAUGAGUUUGGUCAAAAUGACCAUUGAUGAUAUUGAAGUUAGAGGAACCAUCUUGGUUAUAAAGGUACCAGAAACUAAAACUUCAACUUCAAGUUUUACUAUCAUUGAAGAAGAUUUAGGCGCUUUAGAUUUAUUUAAAAAGUACGCAGCAUUAAGACCAGCUGGAAUAAAGAAGGGAAGAUUCUUUUUUACUAAUAGAAAGAGUCGCUGUACAGUACAACCUGUUGGAAAAAAUACCAUAGGAAGCGUCCCAACAUUGAUCGCAAAAUUUUUAAAACUAGAUAAUGCAGAAGCUUAUACCGGCCACUGUUUGCUUCGCACAUCGUCAACUUUACUUGUUGAGGCAGGUGCUUCGUUUGAAAUGCUAAAACAACAUGGGAAAUGGAAAAGCUCUUCAGUAGCUGAAGGAUAUAUAGAAGAAAGUAUUUCAUCCAAAAAUAAAGUAGCCAAAAUGAUUGCCAAUUCAGUUAAUUCCGAGGUUAAUUCCGUAUCGACUAUUGAAAAUUCUUUAAUGGACAAUUUACAAACUAUACAAAAUACCAUCACAAAAAACACCGACCAUUCUAUAGUGGGCUCAGCUACAUUUUCCGGGACAUUUCAAAAUUGUAAUUUUUAUUUUGGAAAUAAAGUUAAUUUUUUAGUA